AGCUUUGUGCAGUGGCAGUAUCAUAGACAAUGAGGUUUAUCCAAGGCAUAAUUAUUGCUAAUUAAAAGACAAAAGAAAAUCCAAAGUUAUAAUCCAUGAUAGCAAAGAAGUGAUGGUGAGUGCCUCUCAAUGCAU
Suricata suricatta (meerkat) is the source of this 135-nucleotide small nuclear RNA. Its record names the gene U4. It matches the Rfam family "U4 spliceosomal RNA". From Rfam's summary of the family: U4 small nuclear RNA (U4 snRNA) is a component of the major U2-dependent spliceosome. The record is from Ensembl. Lineage: Eukaryota; Metazoa; Chordata; Mammalia; Carnivora; Herpestidae.